RNAcentral lists this ribosomal RNA (368 nucleotides) under uncultured organism. Its description in RNAcentral is "bacterial SSU rRNA". It matches the Rfam family "Bacterial small subunit ribosomal RNA", at positions 526 to 896 of the family's 1533-position model. The record is from RNAcentral.
CGGAGGGUGCAAGCGUUAUCCGGAUUCACUGGGUUUAAAGGGUGUGUAGGCGGGCUGUUAAGUCAGUGGUGAAAUCUCCGGGCUCAACCCGGAAACUGCCAUUGAUACUAUCAGUCUUGAAUUUUGUUGAGGUAGGCGGAAUAUAUCAUGUAGCGGUGAAAUGCAUAGAUAUGAUAUAGAACACCGAUUGCGAAGGCAGCUUGCUAAACAAAUAUUGACGCUGAGGCACGAAAGCGUGGGGAUCAAACAGGAUUAGAUACCCUGGUAGUCCACGCCCUAAACGAUGAUUACUCGACAUACGCGAUACACAGUGUGUGUCUGAGCGAAAGCAUUAAGUAAUCCACCUGGGAGGUACGUCCGCAAGGAUG